UGGGGAAUUUUGGACAAUGGGGGAAACCCUGAUCCAGCCAUGCCGCGUGCAGGAUGAAGGUCUUCGGAUUGUAAACUGCUUUUGUCAGGGACGAAAAGGUUUCGGCUAAUACCCGGAACUGCUGACGGUACCUGAAGAAUAAGCACCGGCUAACUACGUGCCAGCAGCCGCGGUAAUACGUAGGGUGCAAGCGUUAAUCGGAAUUACUGGGCGUAAAGCGUGCGCAGGCGGUUCCGUAAGAUAGAUGUGAAAUCCCCGGGCUUAACCUGGGAAUUGCAUUUAUGACUGCGGGACUGGAGUUUAUCAGAGGGGGGUGGAAUUCCAAGUGUAGCAGUGAAAUGCGUAGAUAUUUGGAAGAACACCAAUGGCGAAGGCAGCCCCCUGGGAUACGACUGACGCUCAUGCACGAAAGCGUGGGGAGCAAACAGG
This 429-nucleotide ribosomal RNA is filed under the name uncultured bacterium. RNAcentral's name for it is "bacterial SSU rRNA". It matches the Rfam family "Bacterial small subunit ribosomal RNA", at positions 355 to 776 of the family's 1533-position model. The record is from RNAcentral.